GCAUCUCUGAUUAUGCCUGCUCUUCAGUAAGUCUUCCAUGAACGGUGCACCUGAAUGCCUGUCUUUGCAAAGAGUCCUGGUUCUCUGACUGCACAAAUCUGUCCACUUCUUUAAAGGUUGCAUCAUCCCUGUCCUCUGAAGCCCUCGUCACGCUGCUGACUUGCAAGGAGCCGAGUAGCGUGAUCAGCAGCGCAGAGACGUGGAAGCUUUUCAUCCAGAAAGUCGCGGGAGUUCUGGAGGCUGCUCUGUCAGCGUACUCCAACAGCAACCUCAGUGACCAUCAGCCUGAGUCCCGUAUUCUCGAUGCCAUUGCAGAGGUGAAAGUCAACAACUUCAGCGCCAUUCUCGAUGCCAUUGGAGAGGUGAAAGUCAACAACUUCAAUGCCACACAACUUACAGAUGUCAGCUUCAUUACCGACUGGUUCCAGGGAAGGCUGAGACCAUUCUUGCCAGCAGUCUCCAGUGAUUUCCUGUUCUGCCUUAGCUCCAAGAACUUUAGUUGCGACACCUACCAAGUUGUGUAAGUAUCUUCAGUGCUCUGUAAAUCCCGAAGUGGUAGUCAGGGGAGUGGAGUUGAGCAAUCCGUAACGGCCGACGAUCUUUCCCGAAUUAGGGUGCAGGCUCUCAGUCGUCAAGCGUCCCUCAUGGAGGUGGGACAACAACGGGUCGUCUUCACUGAUUUUGUCCAUCCCUUCCUCUCGAGAGAUGACCUACCAGAUCCUGCCUGUCUUGCCAAUAUUACGAGCAGCGCUGACUGGCUGGAGAAGAACUUUGGCAACUUCUCCGUCUACGCUACCUUGGAGGAUUUGCAAACGCUGAAUGAAAAUUUCUCCAGCUUUGCAUCGUUGGAGGUUCUGAGCCCUAGCCAAGUAGCUGAACUGACACUGAGCUCCGGAGCGUUGAACAACACCAAUCAGAUCGACGCUGUGUUCGACCGCCUGGAGAAUGGCAACGCUUUUAAGAAUGUGGAGGAGUUUCUGACGGCUCUAACCGCAUCUCCUGAGAUUCCCGAUAUCACCCCGGCUGUGAGAGACGUGAUGAUGAACCGAACCUUCGUAAUCAUUGAACUGAAGUUCCAGGAAUUUGUGGCUCAUGACUGGGAAGUGUGGUUCACCGAGAAGCUCAUCCCUGUCCUCCCCAGUUUCACCGCAGAAAUGCUGCUUAAGGUCACAGCUGACAUCAACUGCACCAACUACCAUAUGAUGUGAGUGAUUCUAUAUAUUAUUUCUUUAAAUGUUUUGAUUU
Molecule: long non-coding RNA, 1245 nt
Filed under: Sinocyclocheilus anshuiensis
Lineage: Eukaryota; Metazoa; Chordata; Actinopteri; Cypriniformes; Cyprinidae
Description: lncRNA (ENSSANG00000032434.1)
Source: RNAcentral